GUUUAGAAAGUGUGCUGAAAUUCUCGCAGAGAUCCCUGGAACUGCCAUGGAGCCACUUAGGAUGUGCACCACUGAGCCAGUGUCUGUGAGGUGAGAAAACAGACACUGAAGAAAACAAGUGAUUCGUAAAGAGAUUAUACGUCUUGAAGUGUAUGUUCGACCCAGGCCUCAGGACAAAGAUACUCAACAGUUUGGGAUACACCAUGAAGACAGAAGAUAUCAUAAAGUUGAGAGAUGAAGCUGAUCUCACACUGGCAUUCCUGGCUUCUGGUUUAAGAAAUUGUGUGUCUAAGGCUUGCAAAGUCCUACCUGAAGAUGUGGCACUGGCCAUGAUAAUAAAAAUGGUAUCAGCUACAUGUAUUUUGUUAUAUGUUAUCGUGACUCUAAUCUGGCCCAUGAAUUAAUUGAAAUUAUACUGGUAGGAGACUGAAGACAGGGGUACCUCCAUGGCCAUCUUAAAACCAGAUCAUUUGCUCCCAUGAGCAUCUAGCAACUACUAUUAGGUAUGUCCCAGGUAAUCAGGGUAAGUUGGCAAAGGUGCUAUGACAAAGUCUUUAGGAAUAUCACUUUAGAAUAUGUUAACUUGGGCAGGCU
Molecule: long non-coding RNA, 594 nt
Organism: Sciurus carolinensis (gray squirrel)
Lineage: Eukaryota; Metazoa; Chordata; Mammalia; Rodentia; Sciuridae
Exons: 3
Source: RefSeq, a predicted model, not a curated record